Molecule: non-coding RNA, 276 nt
Organism: Oryza nivara
Lineage: Eukaryota; Viridiplantae; Streptophyta; Magnoliopsida; Poales; Poaceae
Source: Rfam
GAUAUCAACUGAAAAAGUCAUCAACAACAAAGUUGAAUAACUCAUCAAGAUCUAAAACUUUUAUUUUGGUCAUUUCUUCGUACGACAAAGUGAUAGUAACAUUGUUCACAAAAUUGACAUAUCUCUUAUCUGGUUCUAUAACCUAUAACACAUAUAUGUAAAAUUUAUGAAUAAUAUUUACUAACAUUUCGUCGGAUGAAGAAAUAACAAAAAUAAAAGUUUUAGAUCUUGAUGAGUUAUUCAACUUUGUUGUCGAUGACUUUUUCAAUUGAAAUC